This 491-nucleotide ribosomal RNA is filed under the name uncultured bacterium. RNAcentral describes it as "partial 16S ribosomal RNA". It matches the Rfam family "Bacterial small subunit ribosomal RNA", at positions 29 to 507 of the family's 1533-position model. The record is from RNAcentral.
GUGCACGCUGGCGGUAGGCCUAACACCUGCCAGUCGAACGGCAGCACCGUAAGAGCUUGCUCUUACGGGUGGCGAGUGGCGGACGGGUGAGGAAUACAUCGGAAUCUACUUUUUCGUGGGGGAUAACGUAGGGAAACUUACGCUAAUACCGCAUACGACCUACGGGUGAAAGCAGGGGAUCUUCGGACCUUGCGCGAUUGAAUGAGCCGAUGUCGGAUUAGCUAGUUGGCGGGGUAAAGGCCCACCAAGGCGACGAUCCGUAGCUGGUCUGAGAGGAUGAUCAGCCACACUGGAACUGAGACACAGUCCAGACUCCUACGGGAGGCAGCAGUGGGGAAUAUUGGACAAUGGGCGCAAGCCUGAUCCAGCCAUACCGCGUGGGUGAAGAAGGCCUUCGGGUUGUAAAGCCCUUUUGUUGGGAAAGAAAAGCAGCAGGUUAAUACCCCGCUGUUCUGACGGUACCCAAAGAAUAAGCACCGGCUAACUUCGUG